RNAcentral lists this long non-coding RNA (706 nucleotides) under Equus asinus (donkey). Its description in RNAcentral is "lncRNA (ENSEASG00005036865.1)". Lineage: Eukaryota; Metazoa; Chordata; Mammalia; Perissodactyla; Equidae. The record is from RNAcentral.
CCCGCCCCGAGGCUGUCGCGGGCGGUUAGGUCCGGCGGGAGCUUCUGUUUCACUGGCGCGCCCACUAUGACGAUCACCUACAGCUGCAUUGCUAAUGGCCGAAUGGUCUUAGCGGAGUUGGCCCUGACCGGCGGCUCCUAUCAGGAAGCAGCGUCAACAGUGCUUAGACUAGUGCUUCUUAGAGCUGAACCAAAGACCGUAAUUCAAAUGGGAAGCUUCGUCUACCAUACUCUCUUUAUUGAUGGAAUCACUUACCUAUGUGCCUCAGACAAUGCCCUGGAUACUGUAACACCAUCUGCAUUUCUCAAAAAUGUUAGUGAUACUUUUCUGAGAAAUCCUUUGCUGUCAGAAGAAUAUUUUUCUCCUUCAAAUGCAGUUGCUGCAGAUUUUCAACAAGUAUUAGGAAAGUAUAUGGUAAAAUACAAUAAAAACCAAGAUAACAGCUCUAUAUCCACCCUGAGGAGUCAAGUAACUGAUGUAAAAAAUGCUAUGACCCAAAAUAUUGAUAAAAUUUUGGAGAGCGAAGAAAGAUCAAAUAUCUUCCCCGACAGUACAGAUGAUCUUCAAACAGCUAUCUUUUCUGGAAACACAGCCACCAUAUAAAGCAAAGUACACACAUUCUUCGUACUCACCAAGUUCUAUUGAUUCCACCUCCUAAAUCUUUUUUUGGUUUUAGCCUUACUUUUUCACUUUUAAAAAUAAUUUA